CCUACGGGAGGCAGCAGUGAGGAAUAUUGGUCAAUGGGCGCGAGCCUGAACCAGCCAAGUCGCGUGAGGGAAGACGGUCCGAUGGAUUGUAAACCUCUUUUGUCGGGGAGCAAAAGACGCCACGCGUGGCGUUCCGCGAGUACCCGAAGAAAAAGCAUCGGCUAACUCCGUGCCAGCAGCCGCGGUAAUACGGAGGAUGCGAGCGUUAUCCGGAUUUAUUGGGUUUAACGGGUGCGCAGGCGGAAGAUUAAGUCAGCGGUAAAAUUGAGGGGCUCAACCCCUUCGAGCCGUUGAAACUGGUUUUCUUGAGUGAGUGAGAAGUAUGCGGAAUGCGUGGUGUAGCGGUGAAAUGCAUAGCUAUCACGCAGAACUCCGAUUGCGAAGGCAGCAUACCGGCGCUCAACUGACGCUCAUGCACGAAAGUGUGGGUAUCGAACAGGAUUAGAUACCCCGGUAGUC
RNAcentral lists this ribosomal RNA (459 nucleotides) under uncultured bacterium. RNAcentral's name for it is "partial 16S ribosomal RNA". It matches the Rfam family "Bacterial small subunit ribosomal RNA", at positions 338 to 795 of the family's 1533-position model. The record is from RNAcentral.